RNAcentral lists this ribosomal RNA (253 nucleotides) under uncultured bacterium. Its description in RNAcentral is "partial 16S ribosomal RNA". It matches the Rfam family "Bacterial small subunit ribosomal RNA", at positions 524 to 776 of the family's 1533-position model. The record is from RNAcentral.
UACGAAGGGGGCUAGCGUUGUUCGGAAUUACUGGGCGUAAAGGGCGCGUAGGCGGUGUGUCAAGUCAGGCGUGAAAGCCCCGGGCUCAACCUGGGAACCGCGCUUGAGACUGGCACGCUCGAGUCCGGGAGAGGAUGGUGGAAUUCCCAGUGUAGAGGUGAAAUUCGUAGAUAUUGGGAAGAACACCGAUGGCGAAGGCAGCCAUCUGGACCGGCACUGACGCUGAGACGCGAAAGCGUGGGGAGCGAACAGG